RNAcentral lists this non-coding RNA (21 nucleotides) under Caenorhabditis elegans. The record is from RNAcentral. Lineage: Eukaryota; Metazoa; Nematoda; Chromadorea; Rhabditida; Rhabditidae.
UCCUUUGCCAACUUCAUUUUU